RNAcentral lists this ribosomal RNA (1832 nucleotides) under Triticum aestivum (bread wheat). RNAcentral's name for it is "partial small subunit ribosomal RNA". The record is from RNAcentral. Lineage: Eukaryota; Viridiplantae; Streptophyta; Magnoliopsida; Poales; Poaceae.
GAAAUCUGGUAGCUUGGACAGUAAUAAAUAAAAAAUGCAAUAUUUGUUGAACCAGGUGUAUACCAUGUUCUUGGGAUCGGUGGUAUGUUCCUUUGGGGAGACAAACAAAAAAACUAUAUAAUUGGUCGAGCCAGGUGUAUACCAUGUUCUCGGGAUCGGUGGUAUGUUCCUUUGGUGAGACUGAUAAAAUAUUAUCAUUGCUUCCUUCAAAUUCAAUAAGUGGUUCUACCACAAUGUUGUGUUCCUAGUAAUAGGUGUCUCUCGGGAUCAUGCUCUCUUUAGGAACCUUUUGGCACAAUCCGCAUUUAAACUGGUUGAUCUUCUUUUAUCAUUGUAGAAGUUUAAAAUGAUUGAUUCUACUAGUAUCCUACUGCUUUGUAACACUCUUAACCAUUGAUUUUCACUGCUAAGUCAAAAGAAUGCAUUGUUUGGAGAUCUACUUCACUUGGACAUUCUCUAGUCAGCUCACUAUUCACCAUCUAGCUAUUGCCCUUAUGCCUUUUCUUGAGGACAAGUAAAGAUUUAAGUGUGGGGGAACUUGAUAAGCACGUUUCUUAUAUAUAAUUUUGGCAUACAAAUAUACCAUUGUUGAGAUCUAACCAUUAAUCUUGCUAUGAACUGUUGCAUAUUUGGAUAAAAAUCAUAUAAAGAACCAUUUACUAGUCAUUUGUUUCUUUUGCAGAAAAGUGCGAGAAGGCACUAUAAACUUCAAGAUCCGGACUAAAGUAGCUAAGAGAACGAAGAAGAGGAGGAAGAAUGGACUUGUGUGAGAAGAAACGAAGUAACCAGGGGGCCAACUAUGGAAGAGAAGAUCAUCUUGUGCUAAAAGUAAAGGAGGAGGGCCAUAUUGCAAAAGGUGCAGAUCAGAGGAGGGGAAUCGAAAUCCCUAGCAGCAGCCCGAUCCCCUUUUGAGCCUGGCAUCUCCAUCUCUCUCCCCCUCACCACUUCUUCCAUCUCCGGCCGCGGCGGUGGCCAGGCCCGCGUGGCGGCACGCCAACCACCCACCGCCACCAUCCAUCACCACUACUCCCCGCUUCACCGCGCCAUCAUCACCACUGAACACCACCGCGCCUCCACCUUCACUGCGCCAUCCAUCCACCAUCACCAGCGCCACAUUGCGCGACCCACCAGACAGCCUUGCUGCACCUCCGUGCGAGAGUGCCCCUGCUGCCGUCCUUCGUCCUUCGCCUGCUGAUACUCUUCUUUCCCCACGCCUCUGCUCCUCCUCCUUUCAACACUACUGCUGCUCCUCUACUUAAAACUGCUGCUGCUCCCUCUCCCACGUCCCUGCUGCUGCACUCCUUCUCUGAACCUCUCUCUUGCAGCUUGUUGCUGCUCCUCUAUCCAUCCCCACGCUGCUGCCUCUUCUUCUCCCAUGAAACUCCUCCUCCUCCUCUCUCUCUAAGCCACCUUCUGUUGCACCUGCUCUCCAACGCCCCUGAUGCCCAGUUGCUCCUCUUUCCCUUUCCUUUCUGCUGCUAAUCUGAACCCACUACUUCUCUGAUCCCACCUGCUGUUAUUUCUAUGAACUUGAGAGUUGUAAGACUUUGAAAUGUCCAGAUUUGAACUAGUAUUGGUACGCUAGAUAUAUGUAUGUUUAGUCCAGAGACAUGGUGUUCUUGCUUAUUUUGUAGCUUAGUGUGAACUAGUACUAUUGACACUAUUCGUUUGUGUUGAAAUUAGUUAAAUUCAUCACUGUGUAUUGCUUGCCGUAGAACCUUGUUUCAUUUUGUAGUCUCUAUGUUAGUUAUCUACCAGUGGUAUAUGUGUUGUGAUAUGAAGUAUUUCCAUUAUGUCCCAUAAUCAUGUUUCCUCAAUCUUUUUCAUGUGAG